GACGAACGCUGGCGGCGUGCUUAACACAUGCAAGUCGAACGGUAAGGCCCUUCGGGGUACACGAGUGGCGAACGGGUGAGUAACACGUGGGUGAUCUGCCCUGCACUUCGGGAUAAGCCCGGGAAACUGGGUCUAAUACCGGAUAGGACUCCUGGCUUCAUGGUUGGGGGUGGAAAGCUUUUGCGGUGUGGGAUGGGCCCGCGGCCUAUCAGCUUGUUGGUGGGGUAAUGGCCUACCAAGGCGACGACGGGUAGCCGGCCUGAGAGGGUGACCGGUCGCACUGGGACUGAGAUACGGCCCAGACUCCUACGGGAGGCAGCAGUGGGGAAUAGUGCACAAUGGGCGCAAGCCUGAUGCAGCGACGCCGCGUGAGGGAUGACGGCCUUCGGGUUGUAAACCUCUUUCAGCUAUGACGAAGCGCAAGUGACGGUAGUAGCAGAAGAAGGACCGGCCAACUACGUGCCAGCCGCCGCGGUAA
Molecule: ribosomal RNA, 478 nt
Filed under: uncultured bacterium
Lineage: Bacteria
Description: partial 16S ribosomal RNA
Rfam family: Bacterial small subunit ribosomal RNA
Source: RNAcentral